AUCACCUUUAUAUGCGAUUUUGUGGAGUGUGAGGAGCUAAUCGCCUUCUACCUGUAUAUUCGUGUACUUGGGGUGUACUUAUUCGUGGGGUAAGUUAACAUCAAUUUUGGCGGUCAUAAAAUGACUGGAGGAAUGUAGCUUCGAUCUCGUAUUGAAGUGUUAUAGCCUUCGGUAGAUGUGAUGAUCGAGAUUGAGGAUUGCAAUGGAUACCCUUCGGGGCUACCUGUCUGGUCUCUGAUUGUUGCUCUGGUGCCGAAAGCUUGCUUACGGUUAUCAAAGUCGAUGGUCAAUAGGUUAGAACGGGUUAAAUUCGUUAAGGAUGUUGACGUAAUGGCUUU
RNAcentral lists this ribosomal RNA (338 nucleotides) under uncultured Glomeromycotina. RNAcentral's name for it is "eukaryotic LSU rRNA". Lineage: Eukaryota; Fungi; Glomeromycota. The record is from RNAcentral.